This 70-nucleotide transfer RNA is filed under the name Datnioides polota (four-banded tigerfish). RNAcentral's name for it is "tRNA-Thr". It matches the Rfam family "tRNA". Rfam says of the family: Transfer RNA (tRNA) molecules are approximately 80 nucleotides in length. Their secondary structure includes four short double-helical elements and three loops (D, anti-codon, and T loops). The record is from RNAcentral. Lineage: Eukaryota; Metazoa; Chordata; Actinopteri; Lobotiformes; Datnioididae. RNAcentral also lists the same sequence under 3 other names.
GCGCUAGUAGCUCAAUCAGAGCUCCGGCCUUGUAAGCCGGACGUUGGAGGUUAAAAUCCCCCCUGCCGCU